AGUGAACGCUGGCGGUAGGCCUAACACAUGCAAGUCGAACGGCAGCACAGUAAGAGCUUGCUCUUACGGGUGGCGAGUGGCGGACGGGUAAGGAAUACAUCGGAAUCUACUUUUUCGUGGGGGAUAACGUAGGGAAACUUACGCUAAUACCGCAUACGACCUACGGGUGAAAGCAGGGGAUCUUCGGACCUUGCGCGAUUGAAUGAGCCGAUGUCGGAUUAGCUAGUUGGCGGGGUAAAGGCCCACCAAGGCGACGAUCCGUAGCUGGUCUGAGAGGAUGAUCAGCCACACUGGAACUGAGACACGGUCCAGACUCCUACGGGAGGCAGCAGUGGGGAAUAUUGGACAAUGGGCGCAAGCCUGAUCCAGCUAUACCGCGUGGGUGAAGAAGGCCUUCGGGUUGUAAAGCCCUUUUGUUGGGAAAGAAAAGCAGCAGGUUAAUACCCCGCUGUUCUGACGGUACCCAAAGAAUAAGCACCGGCUAACUUCGUG
RNAcentral lists this ribosomal RNA (492 nucleotides) under uncultured bacterium. RNAcentral's name for it is "partial 16S ribosomal RNA". It matches the Rfam family "Bacterial small subunit ribosomal RNA", at positions 29 to 507 of the family's 1533-position model. The record is from RNAcentral.